GACGAACGCUGGCGGCGUGCUUAACACAUGCAAGUCGAACGGAAAGGCCCUGCUUGUGUGGGGUGCUCGAGUGGCGAACGGGUGAGUAACACGUGAGUAACCUGCCCUUGACUUUGGGAUAACUUCAGGAAACUGGGGCUAAUACCGGAUAGGAGCUCCUGCGGCAUGGGGGGGGUUGGAAAGUUUCGGCGGGUGGGGAUGGACGCGCGGCUUAUCAGCUUGUUGGUGGGGUAGUGGCUUACCAAGGCUUUGACGGGUAGCCGGCCUGAGAGGGUGACCGGCCACAUUGGGACUGAGAUACGGCCCAGACUCCUACGGGAGGCAGCAGUGGGGAAUAUUGCACAAUGGGCGGAAGCCUGAUGCAGCAACGCCGCGUGCGGGAUGACGGCCUUCGGGUUGUAACCCGCUUUCGCCUGUGACGAAGCGUGAGUGACGGUAAUGGGUAAAGAAGCACCGGCUAACUACGUG
This 468-nucleotide ribosomal RNA is filed under the name uncultured bacterium. RNAcentral describes it as "partial 16S ribosomal RNA". It matches the Rfam family "Bacterial small subunit ribosomal RNA", at positions 28 to 507 of the family's 1533-position model. The record is from RNAcentral.